GUAUAUAUAGUUUAAUAAACACUAGGCUGUGACCCUAGAGAUGAAAGUUUAACUCUUUCUAUAAACC
Molecule: transfer RNA, 67 nt
Filed under: Eurycea sp. D CCN-2007
Lineage: Eukaryota; Metazoa; Chordata; Amphibia; Caudata; Plethodontidae
Also listed under: 11 other names
Description: tRNA-His
Rfam family: tRNA
About the family: Transfer RNA (tRNA) molecules are approximately 80 nucleotides in length. Their secondary structure includes four short double-helical elements and three loops (D, anti-codon, and T loops). Further hydrogen bonds mediate the characteristic L-shaped molecular structure. tRNAs have two regions of fundamental functional importance: the anti-codon, which is responsible for specific mRNA codon recognition, and the 3' end, to which the tRNAs corresponding amino acid is attached (by aminoacyl-tRNA synthetases). tRNAs cope with the degeneracy of the genetic code in two manners: having more than one tRNA (with a specific anti-codon) for a particular amino acid; and 'wobble' base-pairing, i.e. permitting non-standard base-pairing at the 3rd anti-codon position.
Source: RNAcentral